UACAGAGGGUGCAAGCGUUAUUCGGAAUUACUGGGCGUAAAGCGCAUGUAGGCGGUUUGGUAAGUCCGGUGUGAAAUCCCUCGACUCAAUCGGGGAAGUGCACUGGAUACUGCCAGACUGGAGUAUGGGAGAGGUGAGUGGAAUUCCAGGUGUAGAGGUGAAAUUCGUAGAUAUCUGGAGGAACAACAGAGGCGAAGGCGGCUCACUGGACCAUAACUGACGCUGAGAUGCGAAAGCGUGGGGAGCAAACAGG
This 253-nucleotide ribosomal RNA is filed under the name uncultured bacterium. Its description in RNAcentral is "partial 16S ribosomal RNA". It matches the Rfam family "Bacterial small subunit ribosomal RNA", at positions 524 to 776 of the family's 1533-position model. The record is from RNAcentral.